This 333-nucleotide ribosomal RNA is filed under the name uncultured Anaerolineaceae bacterium. RNAcentral's name for it is "bacterial SSU rRNA". It matches the Rfam family "Bacterial small subunit ribosomal RNA", at positions 1039 to 1382 of the family's 1533-position model. The record is from RNAcentral. Lineage: Bacteria; Bacillati; Chloroflexota; Anaerolineae; Anaerolineales; Anaerolineaceae.
UGCUGCAUGGCUGUCGUCAGCUCGUGUCGUGAGAUGUUCGGUUAAGUCCGCUAACGAGCGCAACCCUCGCUGUGUGGUUACAAGUGUCACACGGAACUGCCGGUCAUAAACCGGAGGAAGGUGGGGAUGACGUCAAGUCAGCAUGGCCUUUAUAUCCUGGGCUACACACACGCUACAAUGGGAAGGGACUAAUAGGUUGCGAAGCCGCGAGGUGGAGCCAAUCCAGCAAAACUUCCCUCAGUUCAGAUUGCAGGCUGCAACUCGCCUGCAUGAAGUUGGAGUUGCUAGUAAACGCAGGUCAGCCAUACUGCGUUGAAUACGUUCCCGGGGCUU